Molecule: long non-coding RNA, 1374 nt
Organism: Eucalyptus grandis
Lineage: Eukaryota; Viridiplantae; Streptophyta; Magnoliopsida; Myrtales; Myrtaceae
Exons: 2
Source: RefSeq, a predicted model, not a curated record
UGGAAUGGAUAUCUCUCCUUGACUUUCUUCCCCUUGGCUUCUCACGCACGCUGGCCAUCUACCCUCUUUCUCCUUCAAUCGAACUCCCUCAAUUCUCCAUUUUUCCUUUCUUCUCGGCAGCGGAACGCCAUCUUCAUCCGAAGUCUCUCCCUGCCGUCCCACUGCUCUGUGUAUUGCUUGUUCGGCCAAUCAUCUUCAACGAAGGCCGAGCAGCCUUCCACCGAUCUGAAGCCGCACGCGUCUGAGUUCCUCACGCCAGCUGCCACCUGCCGGCUUCUUGGCCUACUUCGGUCAAUAAUAAAAGCAACCGAAGCUCCUCGGUUGACCGCAAAAGCCCAGCAGUCCAGCGAAAUCCCCUCCUUCGCUGCUUCCUCGUCUAGCAUCGAUUCCACCGAGAACCCCUGUCCAUCGAAGCCUCAGCACUUGCCAGCAGCUGCUUCUCAUGUUUCCUCUCUUGCGCCAUCGCCGAAACUGCUUCUGUGUGGAAGCUGCUACCGCGCGUCUUCAGUUCAAUAAGCGAAGCCAGCAAGCGUGCCCUCUCCAUGCAGCCAAGGAUGACGCUGCUUCAUGUCUUCAACCCAACGAAGCUGCUGCCACAUCUUCUCUCUGUCACUUGUUCUGUCGGUCAAACCGCACGAGGCUAGCAACUUUCAGCCCAGUAUUUUGAAGCCACAUGAUUUCCAACGGCCCAUGGUUUGGCCAGUCCACGUCUCCAACGUGUUCGCAGCACCAUAGCCCAACAAGUCCAGUGAAGGUAGGCCUAGUGAACUUCGACCCAUCAAUUCUUUGGUUACUCGGCCUAAUAGUAGCCUUGCUGCUUCGCCUUUCAACCCAUCUCAACCCAAUAAUUAAGCCCAUCAGCCCACCUGCUUAUUUGAUCGGCCCAAGUGCAGCAACCCAGCAGCUCGGCCCAAACUGGUUCAGUUCAGUUCAGCCCAUAGUCCAGUGAAGUCCAGCAAAUUCUUUUGAAGCCCAUGCCUGCGAGGCAAGAUCUUCGGGCUUGGCUCAGUGUUCGCGGACGUCGCAAAAAAUUUGGAUUUCGACCGCCGUCGCGUUGCUGUCGUGGUGUUCCGAUCUUCACUUUGCCAAGACCCUGAUGAAGGAGCCUGAUGAGGAGGAACCUGAAAAGGAGAACCCUAAUGUGGAACCAUAUGAGAAGGAAGAUUUUGGAGAAGAAGAUGACCAUGAGGAGGGUCCUGAGUACAACCCGGAUGAGGACUGAGAUCCCAUCCUGUUUUGUCAGACCUUGAUUAUAUGUGGAUAAGUGUUAGAUCAGACCCUUGUGAAUAGUAUUGCAUUAUAUACUAUGAGGUGCUUGUAUAAAAGAGUAAUUGAGAAUUCUAGUAUGAAAAUUAUGGCCCUACUUUUCUAUCU